AGUCGAGCGGAUGACGGGAGCUUGCUCCUUGAUUCAGCGGCGGACGGGUGAAGUAAUGCCUAGGAAUCUGCCUGGUAGUGGGGGACAACGUUUCGAAAGGAACGCUAAUACCGCAUACGUCCUACGGGAGAAAGCAGGGGACCUUCGGGCCUUGCGCUAUCAGAUGAGCCUAGGUCGGAUUAGCUAGUUGGUGGGGUAAUGGCUCACCAAGGCGACGAUCCGUAACUGGUCUGAGAGGAUGAUCAGUCACACUGGAACUGAGACACGGUCCAGACUCCUACGGGAGGCAGCAGUGGGGAAUAUUGGCACAAUGGGCGAAAGCCUGAUCCAGCCAUGCCGCGUGUGUGAAGAAGGUCUUCGGAUUGUAAAGCACUUUAAGUUGGGAGGAAGGGCAGUAAGCUAAUACCUUGCUGUUUUGACGUUACCAACAGAAUAAGCACCGGCUAACUCUGUGCCAGCAGCCGCGGUAAUACAGAGGGUGCAAGCGUUAAUCGGAAUUACUGGGCGUAAAGCGCGCGUAGGUGGUUCGUUAAGUUGGAUGUGAAAGCCCCGGGCUCAACCUGGGAACUGCAUCCAAAACUGGCGAGCUAGAGUACGGUAGAGGGUGGUGGAAUUUCCUGUGUAGCGGUGAAAUGCGUAGAUAUAGGAAGGAACACCAGUGGCGAAGGCGACCACCUGGACUGAUACUGACACUGAGGUGCGAAAGCGUGUGGAGCAAACAGGAUUAGAUACCCUGGUAGUCCACGCCGUAUACGAUGUCAACUAGCCGUUGGAAUCCUUGAGAUUUUAGUGGCGCAGCUAACGCAUUAAGUUGACCGCCUGGUGAGUACGGCCGCAAGGUUAAAACUCAGAUGAA
Molecule: ribosomal RNA, 856 nt
Filed under: Pseudomonas sp.
Lineage: Bacteria; Pseudomonadati; Pseudomonadota; Gammaproteobacteria; Pseudomonadales; Pseudomonadaceae
Description: bacterial SSU rRNA
Rfam family: Bacterial small subunit ribosomal RNA
Source: RNAcentral